ACGCCGUACAUUUAGCGUUGAGGUCCCC
RNAcentral lists this small RNA (28 nucleotides) under Bombyx mori (domestic silkworm). RNAcentral's name for it is "ovarian small RNA-4437". Lineage: Eukaryota; Metazoa; Arthropoda; Insecta; Lepidoptera; Bombycidae. The record is from RNAcentral.